Long non-coding RNA from Oncorhynchus keta (chum salmon), 657 nucleotides. RefSeq lists it as uncharacterized. Lineage: Eukaryota; Metazoa; Chordata; Actinopteri; Salmoniformes; Salmonidae. The transcript has 4 exons. The record is from RefSeq and is a predicted model, not a curated record.
UCGAACACCUUUAUUUAACCAGGUAGGCCAGUCGAACACCUUUAUCUAACCAGGUAGGCCAGUCGAACACCUUUAUUUAACCAGGUAGGCCAGUCGAACACCUUUAUUUAACCAGGUAGGCCAGUCGAACACCUUUAUUUAACCAGGUAGGCCAGUCGAACACCUUUAUUUAACCAGGUAGGCCAGUCGAACACCUUUAUUUAACCAGGUAGGCCAGUCGAACACCUUUAUCUAACCAGGUAGGCCAGUCGAACACCUUUAUUUAACCAGGUAGGCCAGUCGAACACCUUUAUCUAACCAGGUAGGCCAGUCGAACACCUUUAUCUAACCAGGUAGGCCAGUCGAACACCUUUAUCUAACCAGGUAGGCCAGUCGAACACCUUUAUCUAACCAGGUAGGCCAGUCGAACACCUUUAUCUAACCAGGUAGGCCAGUCGAACACCUUUAUCUAACCAGGUAGGCCAGUCGAACACCUUUAUCUAACCAGGUAGGCCAGUCGAACACCUUUAUCUAACCAGGUAGGCCAGUCGAACACCUUUAUCUAACCAGGUAGGCCAGUCGAACACCUUUAUCUAACCAGGUAGGCCAGUCGAACACCUUUAUCUAACCAGGUAGACCAGUCGAACACCUUUAUUUAACCAGGUAGGCCAGUCGAAC